Molecule: ribosomal RNA, 495 nt
Filed under: uncultured bacterium
Lineage: Bacteria
Description: partial 16S ribosomal RNA
Rfam family: Bacterial small subunit ribosomal RNA
Source: RNAcentral
GACGAACGCUGGCGGCGUGCCUAAUACAUGCAAGUAGAACGCUGAAGGAGGAGCUUGCUCUUCUGGAUGAGUUGCGAACGGGUGAGUAACGCGUAGGUAACCUGCCUGGUAGCGGGGGAUAACUAUUGGAAACGAUAGCUAAUACCGCAUAACAGUAGAUGUUGCAUGACAUUUACUUAAAAGGUGCAAUUGCAUCACUACCAGAUGGACCUGCGUUGUAUUAGCUAGUUGGUGGGGUAACGGCUCACCAAGGCGACGAUACAUAGCCGACCUGAGAAGGGGAUCGGCCACACUGGGACUGAGACACGGCCCAGACUCCUACGGGAGGCAGCAGUAGGGAAUCUUCGGCAAUGGACGGAAGUCUGACCGAGCAACGCCGCGUGAGUGAAGAAGGUUUUCGGAUCGUAAAGCUCUGUUGUAAGAGAAGAACGAGUGUGAGAGUGGAAAGUUCACACUGUGACGGUAGCUUACCAGAAAGGGACGGCUAACUACGUG